AAUAAAAGCAGGAAACUAAUGUGUAAAAGAGAUGAGAAACAUUUACAUUUAAGGAACCGACAGUUUCUAGAGCAAGUGGCAAAGGGCAUGGUGGUUGGUAACCCGAGACCUAAGUUCGAAUCCUAAUUGAUUCGCAUUUCUAGCUAAGUUUAUUUCUAAAUGAAAUAAAUGAAGCGGGUAACGUGCUAUUUAUCUCUCAAAAAAAAAUAUUUACAUUUAAGGAAAUACACGAUGGAUUGCUCUAACAUUAUCUGAAAAAUUAA
RNAcentral lists this long non-coding RNA (263 nucleotides) under Ananas comosus (pineapple). Its description in RNAcentral is "long non-coding RNA (ACOM_LNC005931)". Lineage: Eukaryota; Viridiplantae; Streptophyta; Magnoliopsida; Poales; Bromeliaceae. The record is from RNAcentral.